Small nucleolar RNA from Arachis stenosperma, 107 nucleotides. NCBI's taxonomy places the organism in Eukaryota, Viridiplantae, Streptophyta, Magnoliopsida, Fabales, Fabaceae. The record is from RefSeq and is a predicted model, not a curated record.
AAAGCAUGAUGAGUACAUUUCCUUAGCAUCUCCUUAUAUCUCUCCCAUGCCUCACAAAGUUAUUCUCCCUCUUUUUGAGUGAACGUGUGAAUGUCAUUCCUCAACCU